Podarcis lilfordi (Lilford's wall lizard) is the source of this 74-nucleotide non-coding RNA. The record is from the annotation of a GenBank genome assembly. Lineage: Eukaryota; Metazoa; Chordata; Lepidosauria; Squamata; Lacertidae.
UCCCACAGUAGCCAACGUGGUAAAGCAUGAGACUCUUAAUCCCAGAGUUGUGAGUUCGAGCCCCACAUUGGGCA